AAAGUGUUAGAAGAUCUCUCUUAUUUGGAAUUUUAGAAUGUUAAGUCUAAUUUAUGAUGAUAUGAACUUGUGGUGAAUAGUUGGAGUUCUAAUUGUAUAAUUUAUUUAGCUUGUGGAUUUAUAAAUGUUGUUCAUGUUUUUCAAGUUGGCUUGGGUUGCCAUAAAUGUGAAUUAUCGAGUGAUGUGAUAUAUAAUUAUAAACUGCACAG
This 209-nucleotide long non-coding RNA is filed under the name Musa acuminata (dwarf banana). RNAcentral's name for it is "long non-coding RNA (MACU_LNC006945)". The record is from RNAcentral. Lineage: Eukaryota; Viridiplantae; Streptophyta; Magnoliopsida; Zingiberales; Musaceae.